AAGAAAGUGGCAGAGGGGCCAUGCAUUUGACUUGAAAUCAAAGUACGGGGGUUCAAUUCCCUCCUUUCUCG
Molecule: transfer RNA, 71 nt
Filed under: Odorrana livida (green cascade frog)
Lineage: Eukaryota; Metazoa; Chordata; Amphibia; Anura; Ranidae
Also listed under: 1 other name
Description: tRNA-Ser
Rfam family: tRNA
About the family: Transfer RNA (tRNA) molecules are approximately 80 nucleotides in length. Their secondary structure includes four short double-helical elements and three loops (D, anti-codon, and T loops).
Source: RNAcentral